Long non-coding RNA from Galendromus occidentalis (western predatory mite), 541 nucleotides. RefSeq lists it as uncharacterized. NCBI's taxonomy places the organism in Eukaryota, Metazoa, Arthropoda, Arachnida, Mesostigmata, Phytoseiidae. The transcript has 3 exons. The record is from RefSeq and is a predicted model, not a curated record.
CAACCACAGUCCGCUAGCGAUUUACAGUUCAACAUGUUCGGUGCUAAGUACGCCCUCGCCGCCCUCGUCGUUUUCUGCGUUUUCAACGGAAUCGCUUCCGACAAGAUCUUGAAAAUCGGAGGUGCCAUCGGAGCCGCAACCAUCGGCUACGGAAUCCACCUCGCUCCUCUGGCCAUGCUCCUCGGUGCCAAUACCAUCCGCGUGGGUCACUCCCACCCCCCUGUCCACCACAAAACUUUGUACCACGUCCACGACCACGGACACUACGAAGGAUACGGCGGCUACGGUCACGGCUGGUAGACGCGGUACUCAUUAGCUGCACCAUCGUCCACAUUAAUUUGGAACACGGCCUUUUGUACAGUAUUUUUCCUCUCGAGCAGUUUGGAACUCUCCGCCAAGCGAUCGACCAGCUUUCUUCUAGGGUGAAACCCAGGGUUGCCAUAGAGAUGUACAUAUUCCUUGUGGAAGGCCUCCAUCGAAUUCAGGCCCUGAAUGUGAUGUCUUUUGUAAAUAAAUAUAUGUUUACAGUCUGUGGAUGGAA